GAUGAAGACGCAGCGAAAUGCGAUAAGUAAUGUGAAUUGCAGAAUUCAGUGAAUCAUCGAGUCUUUGAACGCACAUUGCGCCCCCUGGUAUUCCGGGGGGCAUGCCUGUCCGAGCGUCAUUGCUGCCCUCAAGCACGGCUUGUGUGUUGGGCCGCCGUCCCCGGUUUCCCCCGGGGACGGGCCCGAAAGGCAGCGGCGGCACCGCGUCCGAUCCUCGAGCGUAUGGGGCUUUGUCACCCGCUCUGUAGGCCCGGCCGGCGCCAGCCGACACCCAACUUUAUUUCUAAGGUUGACCUCGGAUCAGGUAGGGAUACCCGCUGAACUUAAGCAUAUCAAUAAGCGGAGGA
This 347-nucleotide unclassified non-coding RNA is filed under the name soil metagenome. Its description in RNAcentral is "partial contains 5.8S ribosomal RNA, internal transcribed spacer 2, and large subunit ribosomal RNA". The stretch from base 1 to 119 matches the Rfam family "5.8S ribosomal RNA", at positions 35 to 154 of the family's 154-position model. The record is from RNAcentral.